CUGUGGACAGAGGAGCCUGUUGGGCUGCUGUCCAUAGGGUUGCACAGAGUCAGACAGGACUGAAGCGACUUAGCGUGCAUGCAUGCAUUGGAGAAGAAAAUGGCAACCCACACCAAUGUUCUUGUCUGGAGAAUCCCAGGGACAGAGGAGCCUGGUGGGCUGCCAUCUAUGGGGCUGCACAGAGUCGGACAUGACUGAAGUGACUUAGCAGUAGCAGCAAUGGGCAAGAAUCACUUAGAAGAAAUGGAGUAGUCAUCAUAGUCAGCAGAGUCAGAAAUGCAGUACUUGGAUGCAAUCUCAAAAACGACACAGUGACCUCUGUUCGUUUCUAAGGCAAACCAUUCAAUAUAACAGUAAUCCAAGUCUAUGCCCUGAACAGUAAUGCUGAAGAAGCUGAAGUUGAACAGUUCUAUGAAGACCUACAAGACCUUCUUGGACUAACACCCAAAAAAGAUGUGCUUUUCAUUAGAGGGGACUGGAAUGCAAAAGUAGGGAGUCAAGAAACACCUGGAGUAACAGGCAAAUUUGGCCUUGGAAUACAAUUAGAGCAAAGGCUAAUAGAGUUCUGCCAAGAAAACACACUGGUCAUAGCAAACACCCUCCUCCAACAACACAAGAGAUGACUCUACAUAUGGACAUCACUAGAUGGUCAACACCAAAAUCAGAUUGAUUAUAUUCUUUGCAGCCAAAGAUGGAGAAGUGCUAUACAGUCAGCAAAAACAAGACCGGGAGCUGACUGUAGCUCAGAUCAUGAACCCUUAUUGCUAAAUUCAGACUUAAGUUGAAGAAAGUAGGGAAAACCACUAGACCAUUCAGUGACAUAAAUCAAAUCCCUUACAACUAUACAGUGGAAGUGACAAAUAGAUUCAAGGGUUAGAUCUGAUAGAGAGCCUGAAGAACUGUGGAUGGAGGUUCGUGACAUCAUACAGGAGGCAGGGAUCAAGACCAUUCCCAAGAAAAAAAAAGUGCAAAAAGGCCAAAUGGUUGUCUGAGGAGGCCUUACAAAUAGCUGUGAAAAGAAGAGCAGCGAAAGGCAAAGGAGAAAAGGCAAGAUAUAAGCAUCUGAAUGCAGAGUUCCAAAGAAUAGCAUGGAGAGAUAAGAAAGCCUUCCUCAGUGAUCAAUGCAAAGAAAUAGAGGAAAACAAUAGAGUGGGAAAGACUAGAGAGGUCUUCAAGAAAAUUAGAGAUACCAAGGGAACAUUUCAUACAAAGAUGGGCUCGAUAAAGGACAGAAAUGAUAUGGACGUAACAGAAGCAGAAGAUAUUAAGAAGAGGUGGC
Long non-coding RNA from Bos taurus (domestic cattle), 1279 nucleotides. Lineage: Eukaryota; Metazoa; Chordata; Mammalia; Artiodactyla; Bovidae. The record is from Ensembl.